Molecule: long non-coding RNA, 1832 nt
Organism: Lethenteron reissneri (Far Eastern brook lamprey)
Lineage: Eukaryota; Metazoa; Chordata; Hyperoartia; Petromyzontiformes; Petromyzontidae
Source: RefSeq, a predicted model, not a curated record
GGGGUCCCAGCUCUUGGCUGCCGUCGCUGUCUUCGCCGUCAUCUCUCUCUUCAUCGUCCGGCCGCAUGGCCGAUCCUCUGCACGGCUCCCAUCAUCGUCGUCGCAAUUAUCAGCCACGGGUGCUCAAACCGCGUCCAUCGUCUCAGUCGGACCACCGACGACUGGACACACACAAGUAUCUUAACGGCUCGACAGAGGCAGUGGGGGGAAGUCGGUUUCAAGGAACCUGCCCCUGGGAGUUCAGCUGCCGCGCCGGGAGAUGGAAUCGCACCGCUGCCUCUGGACUGGAAGCCCACAGAGGCCUCUCCAUCACCCAACAGUGGCAGCUCCUUUCUUGUCUCGGUUUUAAAAAAAAGAUUAACACGUUGUGUGUUUAUUUGCUCGAAACGUUUCUAUCUGUGCUGCAAACUGGUAUUAACCGGUUUUGCCGGGAGUGUUUUCCCCUUCAUUUAGUUCCCAAUAAUGCGUCCAAAAAAACCCAACGAUGUGAACAACACGAGUUCGAAGCCAGGAUAUCAGCGGCGCGAGGCCUUUGUUCUGGGGUGUAGAUGAGCGAAGGGCUCAUUCACUGAGCGCCACUGCCGCUCACCCACCCAAGUGACUGUGGCGGGCAGGGCUCUAUAUUAAUAGAGACCCCCUUAGCGGGGUCGUCUCAGGACAGCCGCUUCUCGGCAAACUCCCCGCGUGAGACCCCCACCCAGAAGGCGACGGGCAAAACCCGGCCGCUAAAAAAUAAAAUGACUAAACGGCUGACUCGACGCAACCACCAAAACCUCAAGGCUGCCCAUAACCACGUCACCCCCGCCCCCCGUGUCCACCCACCACCACCACCCACGGGUGUGUGUGUGUGUGUCGAUGUGUUAAUUGCGAGGAACGGUGGUGCCAUCGGCGAGCGAGCUGCGCUACGAACUCGGCGUCUUGAGUUCGAUUCCCGUUCACGGUCGUCACUGGCGACGAUCAUCUGAACCGGUCCUGGGCCUCCCCUAGGUCGACGCAGCCUCAAAUGAGUAAAUAUUGCCACUAGGGAGACAAAGCCGGUCGGACGUGGUGAUGGCCACCCACCACCCCUUGUAUGCCCCAAAAGUCUGUUCGUGUUACACGGGGAUCUUGUCUUUGUCAGUGUAUUAGGAACUCCCAGCCAAGGCGAACUUUGGUGGUGAUUAUCUCAACUAGUCCUGGUCCUUUCUCCUAGGCAAACGCAGCCUUCAAAAGAGUACAGCAGCUGUCCAAAACAUCAGCACGGGGGGAGCAGCAAGGACGGCCACACGCGGCGUGAGCCACGCCUCGUGCCCCGUGCCGACCUUGAUAGGUGCUCGCACGCGGCACUUUGACCGGCAGCAGCUUGUGACGGCGAGGCGGGGUGGUGACCGGGAUGGGUGGGGCUCUCUCUGUAAUUAUUGCUGCUGAAUUUGAAUGAUCUCAAUGCGCGCAUUCAUUGAGUCACGUUGCCGGUGAGCAGUGGACAUCCUCAACACGCCUGAGUUCGGCGCUUGAGCCUUUGCCUUUUUGUAAAAUGUAAUCCUGAGAACACAACGUUGGCUUCAGUUUGGAUAUCCGGAGCCGUGGAUAUUUGAUACCUGGAUGUUUCGGCAGAACGAGCAAAGAACUCCGCGUGUGUAGCGAUCGAUUAAUCGAUCGCUACACACGCGCAGUUCGAUCGAUCGCUACACACGCGGACGGGCACAGCCGCGAGACGCGCGCAGGUCGGCAGGGAUUCGUUACGCUCACAGGACGUGAUGUUGGUGUUCAGUUUGUUGUCCUUCACCCCACACCUCCGAUUAGCACGAUUGGCUCCGUACAUUGCGAAAUAAGUUCAUCAUACGUACAUAAAC